AAAAAUCUGCAUCAUCUGCUGCUUCCUCAUCCUCCUGACAAGAAGCAUAUCAGGUAGAAAUUCUUUAUUUUUCAUAUCAUGGUAGAUAUUUUGCAAGAAUGAAUGUGAUAGAAUAAUGAUCUAACCUGGAAACCUAUAUUCAGGGAUUCAGCGGAUCCAAAGGAGUAUGUAUCGCCGUUAUCGGAGACAACAAAGGUGGUGUAUUCACCGGUGGAGACAUGCACAGCCUUCACAUUGCUCAAUCCUUGAACCACAGUGGGGAGAACCCUGUACUCCUCAUCGCCAUGUCCC
RNAcentral lists this long non-coding RNA (291 nucleotides) under Oryza sativa (Asian cultivated rice). RNAcentral describes it as "long non-coding RNA (OSAT_LNC000407)". Lineage: Eukaryota; Viridiplantae; Streptophyta; Magnoliopsida; Poales; Poaceae. The record is from RNAcentral.